RNAcentral lists this long non-coding RNA (1945 nucleotides) under Canis lupus familiaris (dog). Its description in RNAcentral is "lncRNA (ENSCAFG00040000924.1)". The stretch from base 1271 to 1601 matches the Rfam family "7SK RNA". The record is from RNAcentral. Lineage: Eukaryota; Metazoa; Chordata; Mammalia; Carnivora; Canidae.
AUGAGGCAGAAGACAGAGCCACUGAGCUCACACAGACACGCCCAGUGCCAAGGACCAGAGGGCCUUUGUGGCCUAUGGGUAGGGGACCUAAUUGGUGGGAACAGGUGCAAAGCCAGAGCAUGUGCAGCCAUGGAGACUGAAGAGCAGCACCAAGCUAAGGACAGCUUUACAAAGAGUGUCAGAAGUGUCACUCCUCACAGGAUAUGUACUCUUUCCUCCAGCCAAUAGACUUCUGUGAUAACUUUCCUGGACAGCAGUGGUGAAAGGAAGAAAGAAGAGCAGCCUGCCUCCUGGGAAAUAACACUCUAUCACUCCCACUGUUUAGAAUCACCGGCAUAAGGUGACUAUGCAGAGUAACUUUUAGUUGGUUUUAUUGUUGUUGUUAAACCCUCUAUAGACAAUGCUUCCCUUUAUUGCCAGCAUCUAGGGCCUAUUGCUCUCACUUUCCUGCUCUUGAUAAACCAUCACCAGACCUGCCCAGAUAAUCAGCUCAUAGCAGGAACUGCAUUAAUAAUUUCCCAGGAGGCUUCUCAGUGGCGAUGCAAAUAGUUUUACCAAGACUCAUCCACAAGUGAGCACACAUGCCCAGAUAUGCUUGUUAAGAAAAAUAAUCCAGAACUUGUACAAGAGAGUACACAUAGUCUUUCAAAGACAUACUGGGGUAUAGUUUAACAAGCCCAUCCAAAGACUAUUUAACUGUCUGUGGGAAUGUACCUUUUAUGGCUCUGCUCUUCUACUAUUAAUUAAAUACCCAGACUCCGUGAAGUUACAUGUUAACUUGCAGGUUUUGUCUAGCUGAGAUGCAAAUAAUUCAUGUCCAGUAGAAAAGAUAACCACUUUAAGGCAUAUACUUAGCAGUAUUAUUAUAACUUUCCUUCUUAAAUGCCUAUAAAUACCCAGUUCCUCAAAAUAUUCUUUUAAUCAAAUUUAUCAUCUUAGUGGGGUCAUAAUUAAUGAGUUAAUACAACUUUGACACCAGUCAAAAUGCACCAAUUUGCAAUAGAAGAAUGUGCUGCAGUCACAUCCCAAUUUUUAUAGUGUGUGGCUCAUGUCCACUAGAACUGCUCAAUGUUCUGAAGUUUGGUAGAUGAAGACACAGAUAUUUCUUCUGUUGAAGAUAUUUCUACUUCUUCUCUCCUUCUCACUCCAGCCCUUGUCAAUGCCUCUUCAGAUCAAUGUUUCCCGGUCAGGGCAGGAAAGAGCAACAGAAGAGGGAAAGGGUAAGUUUUGUUCAAUACCUGCACAAAAAAAUUUAAAAUAACAUUUUUGAGGAUGUGAGGAUGAUCUGGCUGCAAUGUCUGUCACCUCGUUGAUCACUAGGGUUGAUUUGUGUGAUCUGCCUGGCUAGGUGGGUGUUCCCUUCCUUUCUCUUCAUUCCAUGUGCAUCCCUUGAGAAGCUGCAUGCUUGGUCAAGGAGGAUGACCCUCCUGGAUAGAGGAAGACCAUUCUUCAGUCAAGGGUUUAAUAGUAGCUGUACACCCCUGCUGGAAUCUCCAAACAAGCUCUCAAGGUCCAUUUGUAGGAGAAUGUAGGGUAGUCAAGCUUCUAAGACUCCAGACACAUCCCAAUGAGAUGCUGCAUGUGGCAGUCUGCCUUUCUUUUAAAAUAAAUAAAAUAAGUAAGUAAAAGAAGUAAAAGAAAAAAAAGUAGUAAGUAAAAGAAGAAAACUUUUGAGUAGAAAGUAUAGGUUUUCCCUGCUGUCUGAAAGUAGAGUGUCAGGAUGCCUGGGUGGCUCAGUGGUUUAGCUCCUGCCUUCAGCCCAGGGCAUGAUCCUGGGGUCCCAGGAUCGAGUCCCACGUCAGGCUCCCUACAUGGAGCCUGCUUCUCCCUCUGCCUAUGUCUCUGCCUCUCUCUGUGUGUGUCUUUCAUGAAUAAAUAAAUAAAAUCUUAAAAAAAUGAAAGUAGAGUGUCCUAUGAACCCUUUCAUAAGUCCAAAUAGUGUAAA